UCUGCAUUCAGAUUGUUUAGAAUGACUUUGUCACUCCUGUAAAUAAUGUAACGACUCUAUUGUUUCUCAGACCCUGAUAUCCAACAGCGAUGUCAUGAAUAAUUCCACCUCUGUUAGUAAGAAGAAGGAGAAGAAAGAGCAACUAACCAAAGCACAGAAGAGGAAACUGAUUGGAAGAACGGAUAAUAAGGGUGAACUGCCAAGAGGUUGGGACUGGGUAGAUGUUAUUAAGCAUGUAAGUAGUUUAUGUGUAUAAAAUAUACAUGUAUUUACAAGAUACAGUGGCUCAAAGAAGUAUUUGCACUCUAAGGUCAAUUUAAGCAAAAUUGUUGUGACAUUAGAUUGAAAAAGGAUCAAAUCAAAUGGUGUUUAUUUGAAAGAAAACAAACACAAGCAUUUUACAGAAAUUUGACAUGCGUGUAUUUUUUAGAUAAGAAAAUAAUAGACAGAUGGACAAUAGACACAAGUGUUUGGGCAUAGUUCAUAUGAUGAAGUCCACCUGUGGUUAAGUGAAGUGACAUGUGGCCAAGUAUGGUGACCCAUACUCGGACACACACACCUGC
This is a long non-coding RNA of Sinocyclocheilus grahami, 563 nucleotides long. RefSeq lists it as uncharacterized. The transcript is spliced from 3 exons. The record is from RefSeq and is a predicted model, not a curated record. NCBI's taxonomy places the organism in Eukaryota, Metazoa, Chordata, Actinopteri, Cypriniformes, Cyprinidae.